RNAcentral lists this unclassified non-coding RNA (149 nucleotides) under soil metagenome. RNAcentral describes it as "partial internal transcribed spacer 1". The record is from RNAcentral.
CCGAGUUUACAACUCCCAAACCCCCUGUGAACAUACCUAUACGUUGCCUCGGCGGAUCAGCCCGCGCCCCGUAAAACGGGACGGCCCGCCCGAGGACCCCUAAACUCUGUUUUUAGUGGAACUUCUGAGUAAACCAAACAAAUAAAUCA